ACCUGACUGCUAUCGGAUUGAUACUAAGCCAUGCGAGUCAUUGUAGCAAUACAAGGCAGACGGCUCAGUAACACGUAGUCAAUCUAACCUAUGGACGGGGAUAACCUCGGGAAACUGAGAAUAAUAUCCGAUAGGCCACCAUGCCUGGAAUGGUUUGUGGCCCAAAUGAUUUAUCGCCGUAGGAUGGGACUGCGGUCUAUCAGCUUGUUGGUGAGGUAAUGGCCCACCAAGGCUAUAACAGAUACGGGCUCUGAGAGGAGAGGCCCGGAGAUGGGUACUGAGACACGGACCCAGGCCCUAUGGGGCGCAGCAGGCGAGAAAACUUUGCAAUGUGCGAAAGCACGACAAGGUUAAUCCGAGUGUUUUCUGCUAAAGAAAUCUUUUACCGGUCUUAAAACCACCGGCGAAUAAGGGGUGGGCAAGUUCUGGUGUCAGCCGCCGCGGUAAAACCAGCACCUCAAGUGGUCAGGAGGAUUAUUGGGCCUAAAGCAUCCGUAGCCUGCCGUGUAAGUUUUCGGUUAAAUCUAUGCGCUCAACGCAUAGGCUGCCGGAAAUACUGCACGGCUAGGGAGUGGGAGAGGUAGACGGUACUCGGUAGGAAGGGGUAAAAUCCUCUGAUCUAUCGAUGACCCCCUGUGGCGAAGGCGGUCUACUAGAACACGUCCGACGGUGAGGGAUGAAAGCUGGGGGAGCAAACCGGAUUAGAUACCCGGGUAGUCCCAGCUGUAAACAAUGCAAACUCAGUGAUGCAUUGGCGUAAGAGCCAGUGCAGUGCCGCAGGGAAGCCGUUAAGUUUGCCGCCUGGGAAGUACGUACGCAAGUAUGAAACUUAAAGGAAUUGGCGGGGGAGCACCACAAGGGGUGAAGCCUGCGGUUC
Molecule: ribosomal RNA, 877 nt
Filed under: uncultured Nitrososphaerota archaeon
Lineage: Archaea; Thermoproteati; Nitrososphaerota
Description: bacterial SSU rRNA
Rfam family: Archaeal small subunit ribosomal RNA
Source: RNAcentral